AGGACACGCUGGCGGCGUGCUUAACACAUGCAAGUCGAGCGGAGGAGACAGAGGUAUAGCGAUAAACGGAAGACUCCUUAGCGGCGGACGGGUGAGUAACGCGUGGGUAACCUGCCCUUUACAGGGGGAUAACACCGUGAAAACGGUGCUAAUACCGCAUAAGACUCCGUAGCGGCAUCGCAGAGGAGUCAAAGGAGAAAUCCGGUAAAGGAUGGACCCGCGUCCGAUUAGAUAGUUGGUGAGGUAACGGCUCACCAAGUCAACGAUCGGUAGCCGGACUGAGAGGUUGGCCGGCCACAUUGGGACUGAGACACGGCCCAGACUCCUACGGGAGGCAGCAGUGGGGAAUAUUGCGCAAUGGGGGAAACCCUGACGCAGCGACGCCGCGUGAAGGAAGAAGGCCUUCGGGUUGUAAACUUCUUUGAUCAGGGACGAGUAAGGACGGUACCUGAAUAACAAGCCACGGCUAACUACGUG
This 477-nucleotide ribosomal RNA is filed under the name uncultured bacterium. RNAcentral describes it as "bacterial SSU rRNA". It matches the Rfam family "Bacterial small subunit ribosomal RNA", at positions 33 to 507 of the family's 1533-position model. The record is from RNAcentral.